Molecule: ribosomal RNA, 495 nt
Filed under: uncultured bacterium
Lineage: Bacteria
Description: partial 16S ribosomal RNA
Rfam family: Bacterial small subunit ribosomal RNA
Source: RNAcentral
GGACGAACGCUGGCGGCGCGCUUAACACAUGCAAGUCGAACGGAAAGGCCUGCUUUCCCUUGUGGAUUGCGGGUACUCGAGUGGCGAACGGGUGAGUAACACGUGAGUGAUCUGCCCCCAACUUGGGUAUAAGCCUGGGAAACUGGGUCUAAUUCCCGAUAGGACUGCAGGGUGGUGCCUGUGGUGGAAAACGAUUUUCUAGUGGUUGGGGAUGAGCUCGCGGCCUAUCAGCUUGUUGGUGGGGUAAUGGCCUACCAAGGCGGCGACGGGUAGCCGGCCUGAGAGGGUGGACGGCCACAGUGGGACUGAGAUACGGCCCAGACUCCUACGGGAGGCAGCAGUGGGGAAUAUUGCACAAUGGGCGGAAGCCUGAUGCAGCGACGCCGCGUGGGGGAUGACGGCCUUCGGGUUGUAAACUCCUUUCGACCGCGAGGAAGCCACCUGGUUGGAAGGGUGAUGACGGUAGUGGUAGAAGAAGCACCGGCUAACUACGUG